AGCGUAGGCGGACAUUUAAGUCAGGGGUGAAAUCCCAGAGCUCAACUCUGGAACUGCCUUUGAUACUGGAUGUCUUGAGUGUGAGAGAGGUAUGUGGAACUCCGAGUGUAGAGGUGAAAUUCGUAGAUAUUCGGAAGAACACCAGUGGCGAAGGCGACAUACUGGCUCAUUACUGACGCUGAGGCUCGAAAGCGUGGGGAGCAAACA
This 207-nucleotide ribosomal RNA is filed under the name uncultured bacterium. RNAcentral's name for it is "partial 16S ribosomal RNA". It matches the Rfam family "Bacterial small subunit ribosomal RNA", at positions 568 to 774 of the family's 1533-position model. The record is from RNAcentral.